AGGUUCUGGGGCGCCACCGCAGUCAUUCUGUUCAGCGGGUAUAGGGUUCUUGGAUAAACAAGCUCUGACGAUCAUUCCCAAACAAGAGUUCAAAAAUGUUUUCCGCAAUAGCAAUGAUAUGGACGGAAAGGAUGCCCUCCUGCACUGAUGCCUCUGGAGGACCACACUUUCCAUUCAGAGACACGCUCAGCACUCAACUCAUGCUGCACACCCGGCCGACCCCAGUACCGACACUCACAGAAUGCAGGUUGGAGAGAGAUGCCGACUUCCGAGGAGGUGUCUUCUUCGGACUGAACGUAUUCCCAAAGAAAGGCAUCUUUGGCCUGAUGAAAGCAAAGCCAGUGCUCCCUUCUCCUAGGGUCAGAAAAAGUCAGGGGUACAAGCAGCUGGAUCACUGACCUUAUGCCAUUGUCUUCAAAUCUUGAAGACAUACAUUUUAUCAUGUGGCUACUAACGAUCCUGGUGCUAUGGUUUGAAUGUCCCCACCAAAACUCAUGUUGAAAUUGAAUUGCCAUUGUUUAACAGUAUAAGGGGUGACUGG
Molecule: long non-coding RNA, 541 nt
Filed under: Homo sapiens (human)
Lineage: Eukaryota; Metazoa; Chordata; Mammalia; Primates; Hominidae
Description: non-protein coding lnc-JOSD1-1:3
Source: RNAcentral